RNAcentral lists this ribosomal RNA (2923 nucleotides) under Klebsiella pneumoniae. RNAcentral's name for it is "bacterial LSU rRNA". It matches the Rfam family "Bacterial large subunit ribosomal RNA". The record is from RNAcentral. Lineage: Bacteria; Pseudomonadati; Pseudomonadota; Gammaproteobacteria; Enterobacterales; Enterobacteriaceae.
GGGUUGUGAGGUUAAGCGACUAAGCGUACACGGUGGAUGCCCUGGCAGUCAGAGGCGAUGAAGGACGUGCUAAUCUGCGAAAAGCGUCGGUAAGGUGAUAUGAACCGUUAUAGCCGGCGAUGUCCGAAUGGGGAAACCCAGUGCAAUUCGUUGCACUAUCGUUAACUGAAUACAUAGGUUAACGAGGCGAACCGGGGGAACUGAAACAUCUAAGUACCCCGAGGAAAAGAAAUCAACCGAGAUUCCCCCAGUAGCGGCGAGCGAACGGGGAGCAGCCCAGAGUCUGAAUCAGCUUGUGUGUUAGUGGAACGGUCUGGAAAGUCCGACGGUACAGGGUGAUAGUCCCGUACACCAAAAUGCACAGGCUGUGAACUCGAAGAGUAGGGCGGGACACGUGGUAUCCUGUCUGAAUAUGGGGGGACCAUCCUCCAAGGCUAAAUACUCCUGACUGACCGAUAGUGAACCAGUACCGUGAGGGAAAGGCGAAAAGAACCCCGGCGAGGGGAGUGAAAAAGAACCUGAAACCGUGUACGUACAAGCAGUGGGAGCACCUUCGGGUGUGACUGCGUACCUUUUGUAUAAUGGGUCAGCGACUUAUAUUCUGUAGCAAGGUUAACCGUAUAGGGGAGCCGCAGGGAAACCGAGUCUUAACUGGGCGUUAAGUUGCAGGGUAUAGACCCGAAACCCGGUGAUCUAGCCAUGGGCAGGUUGAAGGUUGGGUAACACUAACUGGAGGACCGAACCGACUAAUGUUGAAAAAUUAGCGGAUGACUUGUGGCUGGGGGUGAAAGGCCAAUCAAACCGGGAGAUAGCUGGUUCUCCCCGAAAGCUAUUUAGGUAGCGCCUCGUGAACUCAUCUUCGGGGGUAGAGCACUGUUUCGGCUAGGGGGUCAUCCCGACUUACCAACCCGAUGCAAACUACGAAUACCGAAGAAUGUUAUCACGGGAGACACACGGCGGGUGCUAACGUCCGUCGUGAAGAGGGAAACAACCCAGACCGCCAGCUAAGGUCCCAAAGUCAUGGUUAAGUGGGAAACGAUGUGGGAAGGCACAGACAGCCAGGAUGUUGGCUUAGAAGCAGCCAUCAUUUAAAGAAAGCGUAAUAGCUCACUGGUCGAGUCGGCCUGCGCGGAAGAUGUAACGGGGCUAAACCAUGCACCGAAGCUGCGGCAGCGACACUAUGUGUUGUUGGGUAGGGGAGCGUUCUGUAAGCCUGCGAAGGUGACCUGUGAGGGUUGCUGGAGGUAUCAGAAGUGCGAAUGCUGACAUAAGUAACGAUAAAGCGGGUGAAAAGCCCGCUCGCCGGAAGACCAAGGGUUCCUGUCCAACGUUAAUCGGGGCAGGGUGAGUCGACCCCUAAGGCGAGGCCGAAAGGCGUAGUCGAUGGGAAACAGGUUAAUAUUCCUGUACUUGGUGUUACUGCGAAGGGGGGACGGAGAAGGCUAUGUUAGCCGGGCGACGGUUGUCCCGGUUUAAGCAUGUAGGCUGAUUGUCCAGGCAAAUCCGGAUAAUCAAGGCUGAGGUGUGAUGACGAGGCACUACGGUGCUGAAGUAACAAAUGCCCUGCUUCCAGGAAAAGCCUCUAAGCAUCAGGUAACAUCAAAUCGUACCCCAAACCGACACAGGUGGUCAGGUAGAGAAUACCAAGGCGCUUGAGAGAACUCGGGUGAAGGAACUAGGCAAAAUGGUGCCGUAACUUCGGGAGAAGGCACGCUGGUGUGUAGGUGAAGUCCCUGCGGAUGGAGCUGAGACCAGUCGAAGAUACCAGCUGGCUGCAACUGUUUAUUAAAAACACAGCACUGUGCAAACACGAAAGUGGACGUAUACGGUGUGACGCCUGCCCGGUGCCGGAAGGUUAAUUGAUGGGGUUAUCCGUAAGGAGAAGCUCUUGAUCGAAGCCCCGGUAAACGGCGGCCGUAACUAUAACGGUCCUAAGGUAGCGAAAUUCCUUGUCGGGUAAGUUCCGACCUGCACGAAUGGCGUAAUGAUGGCCAGGCUGUCUCCACCCGAGACUCAGUGAAAUUGAACUCGCUGUGAAGAUGCAGUGUACCCGCGGCAAGACGGAAAGACCCCGUGAACCUUUACUAUAGCUUGACACUGAACAUUGAGCCUUGAUGUGUAGGAUAGGUGGGAGGCUUUGAAGCGUGGACGCCAGUCUGCGUGGAGCCAACCUUGAAAUACCACCCUUUAAUGUUUGAUGUUCUAACGUUGGCCCCUGACCGGGGUUGCGGACAGUGUCUGGUGGGUAGUUUGACUGGGGCGGUCUCCUCCCAAAGCGUAACGGAGGAGCACGAAGGUUAGCUAAUCCUGGUCGGACAUCAGGAGGUUAGUGCAAUGGCAUAAGCUAGCUUGACUGCGAGCGUGACGGCGCGAGCAGGUGCGAAAGCAGGUCAUAGUGAUCCGGUGGUUCUGAAUGGAAGGGCCAUCGCUCAACGGAUAAAAGGUACUCCGGGGAUAACAGGCUGAUACCGCCCAAGAGUUCAUAUCGACGGCGGUGUUUGGCACCUCGAUGUCGGCUCAUCACAUCCUGGGGCUGAAGUAGGUCCCAAGGGUAUGGCUGUUCGCCAUUUAAAGUGGUACGCGAGCUGGGUUUAGAACGUCGUGAGACAGUUCGGUCCCUAUCUGCCGUGGGCGCUGGAGAAUUGAGGGGGGCUGCUCCUAGUACGAGAGGACCGGAGUGGACGCAUCACUGGUGUUCGGGUUGUCAUGCCAAUGGCACUGCCCGGUAGCUAAAUGCGGAAGAGAUAAGUGCUGAAAGCAUCUAAGCACGAAACUUGCCCCGAGAUGAGUUCUCCCUGAGACUUUAAGUCUCCUGAAGGAACGUUGAAGACGACGACGUUGAUAGGCCGGGUGUGUAAGCGCAGCGAUGCGUUGAGCUAACCGGUACUAAUGAACCGUGAGGCUUAACCUUACAACGCCGAAG